UACGUAGGGUGCAAGCGUUGUCCGGAAUUAUUGGGCGUAAAGGGUGCGUAGGCGGCCUGACAAGUCUGAUGUGAAAUCCCUGGGCUCAACCCAGGGCCUGCAUCGGAAACUGUCGGGCUUGAGUAUGGGAGAGGUGAGUGGAAUUUCCGGUGUAGCGGUGAAAUGCGUAGAGAUCGGGAGGAACAUCAGUGGCGAAGGCGGCCAUCUGGGACAACACUGACGCUGAGGCACGAAAGCGUGGGGAGCAAACAGG
Molecule: ribosomal RNA, 253 nt
Filed under: uncultured bacterium
Lineage: Bacteria
Description: partial 16S ribosomal RNA
Rfam family: Bacterial small subunit ribosomal RNA
Source: RNAcentral